UUCUACGGGGCGCAGCAGUGGGGAAUAUUGCGCAAUGGGCGAAAGCCUGACGCAGCGACGCCGCGUGAGGGAUGAAGGUUCUCGGAUCGUAAACCUCUGUCAGAAGGGAAGAAAUUGUAUCAUGCUAAUCAGUGGUGUAUUGGCGGUACCUUCCAAGGAAGCACCGGCUAACUCUGUGCCAGCAGCCGCGGUAAUACGGAGGGUGCGAGCGUUAAUCGGAAUUAAUGGGCG
RNAcentral lists this ribosomal RNA (231 nucleotides) under uncultured bacterium. RNAcentral's name for it is "partial 16S ribosomal RNA". It matches the Rfam family "Bacterial small subunit ribosomal RNA", at positions 337 to 560 of the family's 1533-position model. The record is from RNAcentral.